UGUGGCUGUAGCCGUCAGUCCUUCGCGUGGUUGGUGGUUAAAAAAAAGAGAAAGAAAACGUUCCGCUUCUGACCUGUGUGAUUUAGAGGUCGGCACCGAUCAGGCGCUGUCCAAGGAGCAGUAUUACCAGGGGAAAUAAAAACGGGCUGCGUCUUCGGAUGUGGUGGGCGCGUUCAACACGGUGUGUCGCAUUUUAAAUUUCUGGGAGGAUUGACAGACUGAGGCCUUCGGGGCCCAGUGCGGUUACGCAAACCAGCUCGGAGACGCCAAUGCGAGCCCCGGGAGGUGUUUUCUUUUCUCUGUAAGGUGAUCGAGUCCCUGGAAUGGGUUCGCCCCGAGAUAGGGAUGGUGGCUCCGUAGAGCAGUGCGGCUCUUGCGCUGUCCGGUGCGCUCGCGUCGGCCAUUGAAAAUCCAAGUGAAGGAGUGUGAUUUCCAUGCCGAAUCGUACCCACAUCCGCAGCAGGUCUCCAAGGUGAACAGUCUCUAGUC
This 489-nucleotide non-coding RNA is filed under the name Ixodes scapularis (black-legged tick). Its description in RNAcentral is "Eukaryotic large subunit ribosomal RNA". It matches the Rfam family "Eukaryotic large subunit ribosomal RNA", at positions 1552 to 1888 of the family's 3401-position model. The record is from Rfam by way of RNAcentral. Lineage: Eukaryota; Metazoa; Arthropoda; Arachnida; Ixodida; Ixodidae.